This 181-nucleotide non-coding RNA is filed under the name Paenibacillus psychroresistens. Its description in RNAcentral is "6S / SsrS RNA". It matches the Rfam family "6S / SsrS RNA". Rfam says of the family: E. coli 6S RNA was the first non coding RNA to be sequenced, but its function was unknown until recently. It consists of 184 nucleotides that fold into an extended hairpin structure with a large single-stranded internal bulge. The record is from Rfam by way of RNAcentral. Lineage: Bacteria; Bacillati; Bacillota; Bacilli; Caryophanales; Paenibacillaceae.
AGAAUCCUGCGAUGCUCGUUACGGUUUUAAGUUGUUUUAAACCAAUGACUGUUUUCCGGGAGACCCAUAUUGAAACGCAGCUGACAUGCCCCCGAAAGGGGAUCUCAAAAACGUUUCUGCGGUCACCCACCUGCUAAGGCGGGUUUGGAACACGUAAAUCGGACGGCAAAGCGGGUUUUAA